CCCCUCUUCUAUUUAAAAUGAAGGUUUGUGUCAAAUAUGGGGAUGCAAGGCAUCUCAAUCAUGACUGUAGAAAUCCUUAUAAAUAUUUUCAUUACAGUAAGUAUGGCGACACUUUUGUUUUAUGCAAAACUACUCGUUCAACCUCAUUGAUUCCAUCUAAUCCAUAGCACCAUCAACAUUCCUCCUCAACACCAUCCAUCCCUACUUCAUCGACCACCUUCUUGCCUUCCC
Molecule: long non-coding RNA, 231 nt
Filed under: Elaeis guineensis (African oil palm)
Lineage: Eukaryota; Viridiplantae; Streptophyta; Magnoliopsida; Arecales; Arecaceae
Description: long non-coding RNA (EGUI_LNC023089)
Source: RNAcentral